UAAUACUAAGUGUCAAUUUGAUUGGAUUGAGGGACACCAUGUAUUAAUCCCGGAUGUGUCUUUGUGGGUAUAGCCAAAAGAGAUUAACAUUUGAGUCAAGGGAAGGCAAAUUCACCCUUAAUCUGGUGGGCACAAUCUAAUCAGCUUCCAGCAAAUAUAAAGCAGGCAGAAAAACGUGAAAAAAGGAAGAUGGGCCUAGCCUCUCAGCCCACAUCUUUCUCCUAUGCUGGAUGCUUCCUUCCCUUGAACAUCAGACUCUGGGUUCUUCAGUUUGGGAACUCAGACUGGCUCUCAGCUUGCAGACAGCCUAUUGUGGAACCUUGUGAUCAUAUGGGUAUUCAGGAACAAAGGGAAGGCCCUGACUGAACCCUGGGAGCAUCUUUGGGCUUCUGCUUUGUGAGAAUCCAUGAGGAAAGGAGAAAAAGGAAAUCACAGCCCUCAACCUCCCUUUCUUAGGAGAAAGAAGAGAAUGAAUGAGGAAGCUGAAGAGCAGGAGGAAUAGGAGAAGGAUUCUUGUCCAUACUGAAGAAAAAGGACAACGUUCAAGAUGCCCAAAGAGAAGCAGGAUCUAUUUGGAGGUACUAAGAAAAAUAAGACAUCAGUCUGAAAAUAGCUCCUAUCAAAACAACAUAAAUUCUGCUAAAAGGGAAGCAAGAAGAAACAUCAAAUUUAUAGUGAAGCUUGGGUGGUAGAAUGAUGAAAUCAUUGAUGCUCUAUGAAAAGUUUAUAGGGACAAUGGCCCCAAAGAAAUCAGCAAUUUACAAAUGGAUAACUCUUUUUAAGAAGGGACUAGAUAAAUGUUGAAAACAAAGCCUGAAGCAGCAGACCAUCCAUGUUAAUUUGCAAGGAAAAAAUUAAUCUUGUUCAUUCCCUAAAUAAAGAGGACUGAUAAUUGACAGCAAAAACAAUAGCCAACACCAUAGCCAACUCAAUGGUUCAACUUACACAAUUCUGACUGAAAAGUUAAAGUUGAGCAUUUCCACUCAAUAGGCACAAAAACUUACGUGUCCAGAUCAGCUGCAGACAAGAGCAGAGCUUUCAGUGGAAAUCUCAAACAAGUAGGAAUGAGAUCCUAAAGCAUUUCUUCGAAAAGUUGCAACAGAAGGUGAAACAUGGCUUUACCAGUACCAUCCUGAAGACAAAGCACAAUCAAAGCAAUGGCUACCAAGAGGGGCAAGUGGUCCAGUCAAAGUAAAAGCAGACUGGUCAAGAGCAAAGGUCAUGGCAACAGUUUUUUGGAAUGCUCAAGGCGUUUUUCUUGUUGACUUUCUGGAAGGCCAAAGAAUGACGACAUCUGCUUAUUAUGAGAGUGUUUUGAGAAAGUUAGCCAAUGCUUUAGCAGAAAAAUGCCCAGGAAAGAUUCACUAGAGAGCCCUUCCCCACCAUGACAAUGCUCCUGCUCAUUUCUCUCAUCAAACAAAGGCAAUCUUAAGUUCCUAUGGGAAAUCAUUAGGCAUCCACCUUACCAUCCUGCUUUGGCUCCUUCUGACUUGCUUUUGUUUCCUAAUCUUAAAAGAUAUAUAAAGGGCACUCAUUUUUCUUCAAUUAAUAAUGUGAAAAAGAUUACAUCAGCAUGGUUAAAUUCUCUGGACCCUCAGUUCUUUAAGGAUAGACAAAAUGACUGGU
This 1626-nucleotide long non-coding RNA is filed under the name Papio anubis (olive baboon). RNAcentral's name for it is "lncRNA (ENSPANG00000038518.1)". Lineage: Eukaryota; Metazoa; Chordata; Mammalia; Primates; Cercopithecidae. The record is from RNAcentral.